Molecule: ribosomal RNA, 292 nt
Filed under: uncultured bacterium
Lineage: Bacteria
Description: partial 16S ribosomal RNA
Rfam family: Bacterial small subunit ribosomal RNA
Source: RNAcentral
GUGUCAGCCGCCGCGGUAAUACGUAGGGUGCAAGCGUUGUCCGGAAUUAUUGGGCGUAAAGAGCUCGUAGGCGGUUUGUCGCGUCUGCUGUGAAAACCCGAGGCUCAACCUCGGGCCUGCAGUGGGUACGGGCAGACUAGAGUGCGGUAGGGGAGAUUGGAAUUCCUGGUGUAGCGGUGGAAUGCGCAGAUAUCAGGAGGAACACCAAUGGCGAAGGCAGAUCUCUGGGCCGUAACUGACGCUGAGGAGCGAAAGCAUGGGGAGCGAACAGGAUUAGAAACCCUAGUAGUCC